RNAcentral lists this ribosomal RNA (449 nucleotides) under uncultured bacterium. Its description in RNAcentral is "bacterial SSU rRNA". It matches the Rfam family "Bacterial small subunit ribosomal RNA", at positions 329 to 792 of the family's 1533-position model. The record is from RNAcentral.
GUCCAGACUCCUACGGGAGGCAGCAGUGGGGAAUAUUGCACAAUGGGCGAAAGCCUGAUGCAGCGACGCCGCGUGAGUGAAGAAGUAUUUCGGUAUGUAAAGCUCUGUCAGCAGGGAAGAAAGCAAUGACGGUACCUGACCAAGAAGCCCCGGCUAACUACGUGCCAGCAGCCGCGGUAAUACGUAGGGGGCAAGCGUUAUCCGGAAUUACUGGGUGUAAAGGGAGCGUAGACGGCUGUGCAAGUCUGGAGUGAAAGGCGGGGGCCCAACCCCCGGACUGCUCUGGAAACUGUAUGGCUGGAGUGCAGGAGAGGUAAGCGGAAUUCCUAGUGUAGCGGUGAAAUGCGUAGAUAUUAGGAGGAACACCAGUGGCGAAAGCGGAUUGCUGGACAGUAACUGACGCUGAGGCGCGAAAGCGUGGGGAGCAAACAGGAUUAGAUACCCUAGUA